RNA transcript from Bombyx mori (domestic silkworm), 3139 nucleotides. RefSeq lists it as uncharacterized. The transcript has 12 exons. Lineage: Eukaryota; Metazoa; Arthropoda; Insecta; Lepidoptera; Bombycidae. The record is from RefSeq and is a predicted model, not a curated record.
CUUUAAAAGAGUAUACACUGUACACUUUGUGACUUUACCUACUUUUUACUGUAGUCUGAGCUACUUUUCAAUUUAAAACUAUUUAUGUAUGGAUAAGUUAAGUAUGUAUACAAGAACGAUAAUUAAAAUUGAACACAUCACACUGUUAAAGUAUAUUCAUACAUAAAGCAACACAUUCUCGUGAAAAAUAGAAAACUGUGUGUUAAGUUCUAUUUUUUAGUAAAGUUAUAUUAAGAAUUUUUAAACCUGAAUAUCACUCCCGUAAUUUCAUUAAUAGAUUGCGCUUCCUUCUCAGUGCUUCAAUUUAGUUGUUGCGAUGUUUUUAAUUUUGUUGUAAAUAAUCAAAGAUAAAGCUGUUGAAAGUUAUUGUGUUUUAAAACUUUAAUUAAUAGUUGUUAAAAUGGAAGUGUCAAAUGAAAUAAAAGAAGAUAUCCGUAAAACUCAAACGGACUUAAAAAAUGCGAUACGAGUUCAUCAGGUGUGGGUUUCACGAUUACAUGAAGAUGAAAACAAUGUUCUUUUUAAAACAAAGGUCAAAGAAGCUGAGAAUGAAAUCAUUGCAAUUGGACAUGCACAAAAGCUGGUCGUAGAUAGACUCAGGAGAGAACUAGAACUAUAUCAGCAAUGCUUAAAAUCUAGAAAUAAGCAGAUUAAUAUGGACAAUGACAAUCAAUAUGUAGCUCAGCAGCUAAGGGACCAUCAACUUCAAUAUAAUGGAAAGAAUAGAAAAAUAUCACUUCUUAAACCAUCAGUACUUACUGAAAUACAUAUAAAGACUGAGAAUCACAAUGAUGCCAUAAAAGGAAGCAUAUCUGAUUCAGAAAAUGAAUUGAAAUCUUCCUUAGAAAAGGAUAACUCCAACAAUAGUGAAAGUGAUGAAAAAGAAAAAUAUCACAGAAAUUUUGCCCAGUAUCAUAAUUCUGUACAAGAUAGUAGGAGUAAUUUUGUUAAUGCUCUGAAGAAAGUCAAGGAAACACUUGUCAAAGAUCACAGUGAAUGGCAUGAACCAAGAUCAGAUACUGAUUCAUCAAACGCAGAGCAAUCUCCAAGUCCAUCACCUCCGCCCCUAGAGCCUGUGUCUCAGGAAACCUUUAUGAUGCUCCUCGGUUUGGUGACGCCGUACCAUAAGGAGCUUUUGGAACGCAAAAUUGAAGAACGACGCAAGAGGGCUUCUGAAAACAAACCUGAUUUUGUGUACGCAAAUUAUGAAAUGAUGCCGAAGCGUAAGAAAUACAAUCAGUUUUCAUAUCUUCAGUCGAAUAAUGAUCCACCACAAACUCGUUCAGCAAAACUACGUAAGCAACUGUCUUCACAAAACAAAUCGUCAAGAGAAGGCUCGCCGUCAGGUUCGUCAACCGAAAACAAAGCGGGUUGGAGUAACAACAAGCCAGCGUGGGUUGCGUCUUUGCCGCCAAGUUUGUCUGUCGAGCCCGUAUAUCCUUCGACGAAGAAAGUUUGUCACGGCUGCGGAAGGAACGAUGUGCCGUCGCUGCUUGUGUGGUGUGCGGGCUGCAACAUAUGGAUGCACACGGGGUGCGGCGCGGAGGGGAGGUGCGGGGCGUGCCGCACCCCGCUCCCCGACCCCGCGCACCUGCCCCCCGCGCACAGACCCGAACAACUACUCGACGACUCUCUGUACAGAAGUAAAUAAAUUAGCCGAACGCAAGAGCCUUCAAGAGCGAAACAUAAAGCUGUGCGUCGAGUUACGGAAACUGGAAACCCGAGCUGCCACGCUCAAGGCGAAUCUCGACGAGCACAACGCGGAAAAGCGGCAACUGCUCGCGGACCAGAUCAACACGCAGAGAAACCUCCAGAAGCUUCUGGACUUCAUCAGCCAGUUCAAGGAGACGUCGAUAAGCAUGCGCUCGACUUCCGCGAGCGACUCCAGCAGCGAGGUCAGCAAAAGUAAUGAGGAAUGAAGUCCUUAGAACAUCUGAAGCGUCUCUAUGUUGUGAAAAUCUGUUUACCGUUGUUACAAGAUCAAUAGAAUGAAUUUCGUGAAAAACAUUUCAUAUCCUUAUACCGUUGUUUCGUUAGUGUUUAAUUAUUAUUUUUAAUUGUUAGCUUUAUUAAUUGAAUAUUUUUAAAUAUUAAAAUUGUUUAGAAAAUUUAAGAAACUAAAUUAAUUAUAUAACACCUUUAAAUAAAUGUGUUACAUAAAUUGUUGAUGAAAAAAAUAUCACUGAUUUUCGAAAAUACUUUUAUAUUUAAAAUUUUAUAGCCAAAAGUGAAGUGUUCAGUAUUUCAAUUGAUUAAUACGCGUUUUAGCAUUUUGUUUUAAGGUAUUGAUAGUUUUUAGAUAACUGUAAAAUGAAAUGAAAUUGAUCUUCCGUCCAUCUGGAUGAGAUGAGGGAUAAAUGUAUUUGAUUUUACGGUCUACAAAUAUGAGAUUGUAAAUGUAAGUCCGCUUUAUAUUAAACGUUUUGGAAUAGCUAUAUAUUUCUUUAGGUCGAGAUUUAUUCAUUGAAUUUUGUCGACAACGAGGAAUCAACUAUAAAUAAUUUAAUUUUGUAAUUUGUUUUUGUUCAAGUGAUGAGUAUUUGUCUGGAUUAAAGUAACUCCACAGGGUCGUCGUAUCUUAAGAUGCAGAUUGCACGACAAGAAUUUCCACUCUGGAACCCACGAGUGAGAGUUUCCUUGAAACUGGAUUGUGGAGUUAGUUACACUGGGGUGGGGCCAAAUUUGAUUUUGAAAAAAAAAUUAUGAGUUUUGUUAUUUCGUUAUGUCAACUUUUAUUAAUUUUUGUUUUUAUUUAAAAUAUGUAUUUGACUAUACGAAUAUUGGCGGAAGAAGGAAAGUGAAUGAUUUCAAUAAAUAGUGAAUAUAUUUUCUGUAAAAGUUUAUACAAGAACAAGUUUCAUUAAAAACAAUUUUUUUUUUGUAAAAAACAUUUUAAUCAAUUUUCCUAGAAAGUACAAAACGUUAAAAUAUCUGUGGAGUUUAAAUUGUUUUGUGAUAUUAAAAUUAUUACAAGAAAUCGACCUGAAACCGUUAAUUCAGAAGUUGAAUUAAUUCUUAAUAAUUGUUCUCUGUGAUAUGGUUAGGUUUUCCUAGGUUGUUGAUAGUUAAUUAUUAUUAAGUGAUUUGUACAAAUUAACCGAGAUGAUUUGUAAAUAAAGUAAAAUAAUAAACUCGAAAA